Molecule: unclassified non-coding RNA, 318 nt
Filed under: uncultured fungus
Lineage: Eukaryota; Fungi
Description: partial contains 5.8S ribosomal RNA, internal transcribed spacer 2, and large subunit ribosomal RNA
Source: RNAcentral
AACGCAUCUUGCGCCCUUUGGUAUUCCUGGGGGCAUGCCUGUUUGAGUGUCAUUUUACAUUCUCGAUGAACAUUUUUUUUUUGGAUCUUCUAAAAGAAUUAUUUCAUCGGAUGAUGAAGGUUGCUGAAACCCCUCAGCUCCUUUGAAAUGCAUGAGCAGAAAAACGAGGUUGGUCAGCUUCGGUUUGAUAUGUUUCUGGACCGUUGCUGAUGGGUCGUCCCUUCUGCUGCCCCUGUCUCGUCGAGAGACUGUCUGCGCUUGUGCGGGCACAUUUUCAACUAUGACCUCAAAUCAGGUAGGAUUACCCGCUGAACUUAA